AAGGAAUAUUGGACAAUGGUCGCAAGACUGAUCCAGCCAUGCCGCGUGCAGGAAGACGGCCCUAUGGGUUGUAAACUGCUUUUGUACCAGAGAAAACCUAUCUACGUGUAGAUAGCUGAUAGUAUGGUAAGAAUAAGCAUCGGCUAACUUCGUGCCAGCAGCCGCGGUAAGACGAAGGAUGCAAGCGUUAUCCGGAUUCAUUGGGUUUAAAGGGUGCGUAGGCGGGCUUGUAAGUCAGUGGUGAAAUCUCUCAGCUUAACUGAGAAACUGCCAUUGAUACUGCAGGCCUAGAGUAUAGAUGACGUUGGCGCAAUAUGACAUGUAGUGGUGAAAUACUUAGAUAUGUCAUAGAACACCGAUUGCGAAGGCAGCUAACGAAACUAUAACUGACGCUGAGGCACGAAAGUGCGGGGAUCAAACA
RNAcentral lists this ribosomal RNA (421 nucleotides) under uncultured bacterium. RNAcentral's name for it is "bacterial SSU rRNA". It matches the Rfam family "Bacterial small subunit ribosomal RNA", at positions 356 to 774 of the family's 1533-position model. The record is from RNAcentral.